CCCGCACUGCUUUUUUCCUCAUCGGCAGAUCUCGCGAAACCUGGUGGUCGCCGCCGCCACCAUAGUUGACAUUCCCACCCCACGGCAAUCGACGUCCCCGUCCGGCCGGCCACCACCCAUCACCGGUUAUCUUCUCCUCCUCACGCCGCCCACCGGGAAGUCCCUCGAGGGCCCGACCCAGACGCCCUACAUCUGCACUGCCCCACUGCUCCAGCGCCCCCGUGGAGACGCCCGACAGCACAGCAGCGCGCCAGCGCCCGAGCAUCUAGCUGCUGCCAUCUCCUCUCAACUCCAGCCAACCUGCGGGCUCAGUCAUUACGCUCUGCCAUGCCACCAAGUAGCAGCCACCCUUGCGCCCUGCUCUGCAAGUCUGCAUCUCAGAUAUGAAGAAAGGGUCUAUCUGCUUGAAGGAAGAAGAAGCUUUGCAGCUACUCCCCUUUUUUAAUUUGAAAGUCCUUGUGAGAUACGGUGUUCCCUUGGUGAAAGAAGCUAAUGAGAUGUGGUUCAUCUCAGAUUGAUUAAUAUCACUUGCUGAAAAAAGUCCUAGUUUGGUUAUCCAACUAUUUUUGGGAAGAGCUAAUAGUUCUUGUUUAUU
Long non-coding RNA from Panicum virgatum (switchgrass), 595 nucleotides. RefSeq lists it as uncharacterized. Lineage: Eukaryota; Viridiplantae; Streptophyta; Magnoliopsida; Poales; Poaceae. The record is from RefSeq and is a predicted model, not a curated record. The transcript has 2 exons.